This 1117-nucleotide long non-coding RNA is filed under the name Homo sapiens (human). RNAcentral describes it as "long intergenic non-protein coding RNA 2613". Lineage: Eukaryota; Metazoa; Chordata; Mammalia; Primates; Hominidae. The record is from RNAcentral.
AGACGGACAGCUCUGACUCGCUCGCUCUUUCUCUGGGCGCCUGCGCGCCUACCAUGACAAGCCAUUUCAGGCGAGCCGAGCCCCAGAGCCAUGUGUCUGGUGCGCAGUGUUAACAGGGCAGUUAUACCUUUUACAGACAACUGUGGCUCCAAGUCAAGUAUGAACUUACACAAACAGUUUAUAUAACAAGUGGAGGUGUGCGCCUGCGUGCCAAACUUGCUGACUCGUGCAGGCCUGGAUACCCGCCUCAGACUAUUCCUUGACCGAAGCACUUCCAGGGCAGGAAACUGAAGCUCUUGGGAAGGUGGAAGUUGCACGUGGUCUCACAGUCAACUGUGCCAGAAUAGGAGGCCAGGAACCAUCUCUGCUGGAGGAAGACCCACCACGCAUCCCUUCAAGAAUGCCAAGGUCCAGAGCAAGUGCUUCCCUUCUAUGGGCACAGGAGGGCUGUGGGAGCCCACAGAAUGUGCUUCUGGCCAGAGUGGGAUCCCCGAGGAAGAUGUUAAGACCUCUAAUAAUAUUUAAGAGCAAAAUUAGCACAGCUCCAGCCCAUGGGCAAGUUAAGAGACAGGAGUAGUGUCUGUGGAGUGGAGGAAAGCAGAGGCUGCCGCUGACCAUCCUGCAGCCCUCGCUCUGGCUGCUCACAGCUCUCCACCUUCUCUGGACUUCGUCACUUCAGUAUGUGAAACAACCAUUUCAACCAGCUUGGACAAAAGAGAGAAGCCAAGAUGGGGCUGAGAAACCAAUGCAGGCAGGCCCAGGGACCCAGGAGUCAGGGACCAGGUGCUACCAGAUGCUUGCUCCGACUCGUGUUGCUGCUGUCUUCUCUGUGCCUCAACUCUGUCCUCUGUCACUGCAGGCAGCUUCCUCCCAAGGUGGAAGGUGAUAUAUCCCACCUCAUGAAAUCAGGCUUCACCACAAGAUUGCUUUGACCAAGGGGACGUGAGUAGAAGUUUGAAGAACCACAGACUGGUCCAUCACCUUGUUUCUUAUCCCUCUGACAUAAGCAAUGUCCCAGACUGGGGCUGUUCUGUUAGCCUGGCUUCCAGAAUGAAGAGAGCUGAUCUACAUGGCAUAUGUAAGAUAAAUAAACCUUUGUUAUUACAAACCACUGAAA